Molecule: long non-coding RNA, 354 nt
Filed under: Lathyrus oleraceus (garden pea)
Lineage: Eukaryota; Viridiplantae; Streptophyta; Magnoliopsida; Fabales; Fabaceae
Description: Pisum sativum (pea) long non-coding RNA (PSAT_LNC034407)
Source: RNAcentral
UUUGUUUCAGUACUUCUAGGCAAGAAGUAUGAACAUGAUUAAGACUAAAUGAUCAAUGAUCACACUAUGAGCAACAACUUUUAUGUGAUUACUGAAUUAUACAGUAACAAGUAUUUAGUAUAUGAGUCAAGGUGUAUUGUAGAAUCCUUGUGUAAUUGCUUCAUGUGUUGGUAUGAUGAUAGUGAGGCCUUUAUAUAGAGCUUGGAAAUGAUACUGUUUGAGAGAAAAUUGAUGGAGAUAUCUUGCCAAUUAUGGGACUUAAUGACAUUAAUUUUCUUGUCCUUUUCAUAGCAGUCUUGGAGUGUAAUCAAUAAUGUCCUUAUAUAGAUUUAUACCAUACUUAGUGAAAUUCUG